GAGAGCUAGCUUCAUGCUUCGGGCGGAGAAAAAAGACAGAGGAUUGGGAUUUUUUUUCUUCAUAGGGUUUUGGGAAGACGGAGGCAAUCGUUGCUGAAGUCAGUAUUGUACUAGUGAAUCGGGGUUUUAAUGAAGUGGGUGUGAUUACUCUUGACUGUUUUGUGAAAUCGAAGUUAGGUCUGUGAUUGAAGGAUUAAAAGGGUGUCUAUAGGAUUGAGUAUGCGGAGUGAAUAAAAAAUUUUGGGUGAAUCUAACAAGACAGUCAGUGGAU
This 271-nucleotide long non-coding RNA is filed under the name Physcomitrium patens. RNAcentral's name for it is "long non-coding RNA (PPAT_LNC000927)". The record is from RNAcentral. Lineage: Eukaryota; Viridiplantae; Streptophyta; Bryopsida; Funariales; Funariaceae.